RNAcentral lists this ribosomal RNA (587 nucleotides) under uncultured bacterium. RNAcentral's name for it is "partial 16S ribosomal RNA". It matches the Rfam family "Bacterial small subunit ribosomal RNA", at positions 355 to 1375 of the family's 1533-position model. The record is from RNAcentral.
UGGGGAAUUUUGGACAAUGGGCGAAAGCCUGAUCCAGCAAUGCCGCGUGUGUGAAGAAGGCCUUCGGGUUGUAAAGCACUUUUGUCCGGAAAGAAAUCCUUGGCUCUAAUACAGUCGGGGGAUGACGGUACCGGAAGAAUAAGCACCGGCUAACUACGUGCCAGCAGCCGCGGUAAUACGUAGGGUGCAAGCGUUAAUCGGAAUUACUGGGCGUAAAGCGUGCGCAGGCGGUUUGCUAAGACCGAUGUGAAAUCCCCGGGCUCAACCUGGGAACUGCAUUGGUGACUGGCAGGCUAGAGUAUGGCAGAGGGGGGUAGAAUUCCACGCGUAGCAGUGAAAUGCGUAGAGAUGUGGAGGAAUACCGAUGGCGAAAGGCAGCCCCCUGGGCAAGUACUGACGCUCAUGCACGAAAGCGUGGGGAGCAAACAGGAUUAGAUACCCUGGUAGUCCACGCCCUAAAACGAUGUCAACUAGUUGUUGGGGAUUCAUUUCCUUAGUAACGUAGCUAACGCGUGAAGUUGACCGCCUGGGGAGUACGGUCGCAAGAUUAAAACUUAAAGGAAUUGACGGGGUCAUAGCUGUUUCCU